Molecule: ribosomal RNA, 446 nt
Filed under: uncultured bacterium
Lineage: Bacteria
Description: partial 16S ribosomal RNA
Rfam family: Bacterial small subunit ribosomal RNA
Source: RNAcentral
CCUACGGGAGGCUGCAGUCGAGAAUCAUUCACAAUGGGGGAAACCCUGAUGGUGCGACGCCGCGUGGGGGAAUGAAGGUCUUCGGAUUGUAAACCCCUGUCAUGUGGGAGCAAAUUAAAAAGAUAGUACCACAAGAGGAAGAGACGGCCAACCCAGUGCCAGCAGCCGCGGUAAUACAGAGGUCUCAAGCGGUGUUCGGAAUCACUGGGCGUAAAGCGUGCGUAGGCUGUUUCGUAAGUCGUGUGUGAAAGGCCCGGGCUCAACCCGCGGACGGCCCAUGAUACUGCGAGACUAGAGUAAUGGAGGGGGAACCGGAAUUCUCGGUGUAGCAGUGAAAUGCGUAGAUAUCGAGAGGAACACUCGUGGCGAAGGCGGGUUCCUGGACAUUAACUGACGCUGAGGCACGAAGGCCAGGGGAGCGAAAGGGAUUAGAUACCCCAGUAGUC